This 800-nucleotide ribosomal RNA is filed under the name uncultured bacterium. RNAcentral's name for it is "bacterial SSU rRNA". It matches the Rfam family "Bacterial small subunit ribosomal RNA", at positions 8 to 802 of the family's 1533-position model. The record is from RNAcentral.
AGAGUUUGAUCCUGGCUCAGAUUGAACGCUGGCGGCAGGCCUAACACAUGCAAGUCGAGCGGAUGAAGGGAGCUUGCUCCUGGAUUCAGCGGCGGACGGGUGAGUAAUGCCUAGGAAUCUGCCUGGUAGUGGGGGAUAACGUCCGGAAACGGGCGCUAAUACCGCAUACGUCCUGAGGGAGAAAGUGGGGGAUCUUCGGACCUCACGCUAUCAGAUGAGCCUAGGUCGGAUUAGCUAGUUGGUGGGGUAAAGGCUCACCAAGGCGACGAUCCGUAACUGGUCUGAGAGGAUGAUCAGUCACACUGGAACUGAGACACGGUCCAGACUCCUACGGGAGGCAGCAGUGGGGAAUAUUGGACAAUGGGCGAAAGCCUGAUCCAGCCAUGCCGCGUGUGUGAAGAAGGUCUUCGGAUUGUAAAGCACUUUAAGUUGGGGAGGAAGGGCAGUAAGUUAAUACCUUGCUGUUUUGACGUUACCGACAGAAUAAGCACCGGCUAACUCUGUGCCAGCAGCCGCGGUAAUACAGAGGGUGCAAGCGUUAAUCGGAAUUACUGGGCGUAAAGCGCGCGUAGGUGGUUUGUUAAGUUGGAUGUGAAAGCCCCGGGCUCAACCUGGGAACUGCAUCCAAAACUGGCAAGCUAGAGUACGGUAGAGGGUGGUGGAAUUUCCUGUGUAGCGGUGAAAUGCGUAGAUAUAGGAAGGAACACCAGUGGCGAAGGCGACCACCUGGACUGAUACUGACACUGAGGUGCGAAAGCGUGGGGAGCAAACAGGAUUAGAUACCCUGAUAGUCCACGCCG